Molecule: ribosomal RNA, 253 nt
Filed under: uncultured bacterium
Lineage: Bacteria
Description: partial 16S ribosomal RNA
Rfam family: Bacterial small subunit ribosomal RNA
Source: RNAcentral
UACGAAGGGUGCAAGCGUUAAUCGGAAUUACUGGGCGUAAAGCGUGCGUAGGCGGUUUGUUAAGUCUGUUGUGAAAUCCCCGGGCUCAACCUGGGAAUGGCAAUGGAUACUGGCAAGCUAGAGUGUGUCAGAGGAUGGUGGAAUUCCCGGUGUAGCGGUGAAAUGCGUAGAGAUCGGGAGGAACAUCAGUGGCGAAGGCGGCCAUCUGGGACAACACUGACGCUGAAACACGAAAGCGUGGGUAGCAAACAGG